AUAUAGAGACCGGCGCACGGGUGCGUAACGCGUAUGCAACCUACCUUUCACAGGGGGAUAGCCCAGAGAAAUUUGGAUUAAUACCCCAUGGUAUUAUGAGAUGGCAUCAUUUUAUAAUUAAAGUCACAACGGUGAAAGAUGGGCAUGCGUCCCAUUAGCUAGAUGGUAAGGUAACGGCUUACCAUGGCUACGAUGGGUAGGGGUCCUGAGAGGGAGAUCCCCCCCACUGGUACUGAGACACGGACCAGACUCCUACGGGAGGCAGCAGUGAGGAAUAUUGGACAAUGGGCGCAAGCCUGAUCCAGCCAUGCCGCGUGCAGGAUGACGGUCCUAUGGAUUGUAAACUGC
Molecule: ribosomal RNA, 348 nt
Filed under: uncultured Bacteroidota bacterium
Lineage: Bacteria; Pseudomonadati; Bacteroidota
Description: bacterial SSU rRNA
Rfam family: Bacterial small subunit ribosomal RNA
Source: RNAcentral